This 305-nucleotide ribosomal RNA is filed under the name uncultured bacterium. RNAcentral describes it as "bacterial SSU rRNA". It matches the Rfam family "Bacterial small subunit ribosomal RNA", at positions 334 to 654 of the family's 1533-position model. The record is from RNAcentral.
UAAACCUACGGGGGGCAGCAGUGGGGAAUAUUGCACAAUGGGGGAAACCCUGAUGCAGCGACGCCGCGUGGGCGAAGAAGUAUUUCGGUAUGUAAAGCCCUAUCAGCAGGGAAGAAGAAAUGACGGUACCUGAGUAAGAAGCACCGGCUAAAUACGUGCCAGCAGCCGCGGUAAUACGUAGGUGGCAAGCGUUGUCCGGAAUUACUGGGUGUAAAGGGAGCGCAGGCGGGAAGCCAAGUCAGCUGUGAAAACUACGGGCUUAACUUGUAGACUGCAGUUGAAACUGGUUUUCUUGAGUGAAGUAG